RNAcentral lists this long non-coding RNA (1129 nucleotides) under Salmo salar (Atlantic salmon). RNAcentral's name for it is "lncRNA (ENSSSAG00000103855.1)". Lineage: Eukaryota; Metazoa; Chordata; Actinopteri; Salmoniformes; Salmonidae. The record is from RNAcentral.
CAAAGUUGGUGCACUUCCCCCCGGUAAUGUCCAGCAGGAUGGCGAACAUACCGGCGACGAUGCCGAUUAUGAUGUGGCCUGCAGGUCCUGGGGCAAGGCCAGGAGGGAGUCGUAGACCUUACACUGCAUCUGGCCCGUACUCUGGGUCACACAGUUCAUCCAUAAGCUUUCCCAGAUGACCUGAGCAGUGACUAUUUGGCUCCGCUGUUACCUUCCACAUGGGCAGAGCACAGAUGAUGAUGCUUCCCAGCCAACCGAUGAUUGCCAGGGCUAUGCCCAGCAUCUGUAGUCCAGCUGACACCAUCCUGAUGGAGCCCUGGUAGUAUGGACUGAUUGAGCUGCUGGAAGGAGAGAGAAAGGGUGACAGGAGAGUAUAGAGUGGAGAGUUUGACAAUGACAAGCUCACUUCCUCUACAUCUCUGAAUUAUCAGGUUUACUUUGAUAAAGGGACAGAACAGGAGUUUUGUCAUCGGUCUCUCUCUCUCUCUCUCGGGUGACACUCGUUUCCUAAGCCAUCUCACCUGACCAUAUUACUCUCCUAACACACACACACACAAACGGCAACUUUGUCUGAACAUCAAAUCCUCAGGGCUGUAUUCAUAAACAAGAGUUGCUGAUUGACAUAGACAAACCAGGUCUAAACGGCAUGUUCACGAGAAGCCAGAAGAGUUUAUCAAUGCAUAGGGUAAGUUCCCUCAUUACUGUUAUCAUCUCUAACACUGUCUGUUGGUUAAUUAGCCUCUCGUAUACCUUUUUCAAUUCUUGAUGCUCUUUUUUUGCAGGAAUCUUCCAGCUUGGAUGGAGGAGGGAACAAAGAGAAGGUGUACAGAAGUUAUCCAGCCUGAUGACUAAGAAAUUUCCUGAAACAUGUCCAUGACCUAAUGCAUGGCCUCUACAGCAGUGCUUGGUCCCCCACUCAGUUACCAGUGACUUAUUCUGCCACAUCCCCUCCUUAAAUCAUUAAGUUGUGUGCAAAAUGUUUUUUUUCUUUCUGUUUGAUACUCUGAUCUUCAAUGUGUAUUGAUUCCUACUAACCAGCUUUGUAAGAGCUAGGUUUUCCUAGCUAUGCUGAUGAUCAUGAAUGUUUUUCUCUGCAUCAGGUCUCAUUGAGAAUGGAAUUCCCCAAAAA